RNAcentral lists this ribosomal RNA (390 nucleotides) under uncultured bacterium. RNAcentral describes it as "bacterial SSU rRNA". It matches the Rfam family "Bacterial small subunit ribosomal RNA", at positions 28 to 417 of the family's 1533-position model. The record is from RNAcentral.
GACGAACGCUGGCGGCGUGCUUAACACAUGCAAGUCGAGCGGUAAGGCCCUUUCGGGGGUACGACGAGCGGCGAACGGGUGAGUAACACGUGGGUGACCUGCCCUCAGCUCUGGGAGUAAGCCUGGGAAACCGGGUCUAAUACCGGAUAUGACUCCAUGACGCAUGUUGUGGGGUGGAAAGCCUUGUGCGGCUGAGGAUGGGCCCGCGGCCUAUCAGCUUGUUGGUGGGGUGAUGGCCUACCAAGGCGACGACGGGUAGCCGGCCUGAGAGGGCGACCGGCCACACUGGGACUGAGACACGGCCCAGACUCCUACGGGAGGCAGCAGUGGGGAAUCUUGCGCAAUGGGCGAAAGCCUGACGCAGCGACGCCGCGUGAGGGAUGACGGCCU